AGUGGGAUAACUUGGUCAAAUGGUGGUUCUAUUCCAUAUUUUCUGAGGAAUCUCCAUACUGCUUUCCAUAGUGGUUGGACCAGUUUGCGUUCCUACCAGCUAU
Molecule: microRNA precursor, 103 nt
Filed under: Marmota monax (woodchuck)
Lineage: Eukaryota; Metazoa; Chordata; Mammalia; Rodentia; Sciuridae
Source: RNAcentral